CAAUCAGCAAGGUCUUCACCUGGCAGGGUCUUGGUCAAAAUUAUUUUCUGUGUGAAAGCUUAUGCAGAGAAUCCAUGAGUUUUCUAGGAAUGGAUUUAACUCAAGUUCAGUGAUGCAAUAUACUGUUUAAAUGGCAGCUGCUUAUAAUCACUUCCAUGAUUUUUGAGCAUGCAGAGAAUACAUUUCACAAAAUAUGAAAGAUCUUGUGAAGUGGAAGUUCAGUUACCUGCUGGAUGCACCUUGUCCCUUUGCUGCCAGGUUUCUUGAAGAUGAGAAAACUUACCCAGCCUGGAUUCAAUUUUAGAAAGAAGAUUAAAUUUGAGUUAUGUUGCCC
Long non-coding RNA from Mobula hypostoma (lesser devil ray), 334 nucleotides. RefSeq lists it as uncharacterized. The record is from RefSeq and is a predicted model, not a curated record. The transcript is spliced from 3 exons. NCBI's taxonomy places the organism in Eukaryota, Metazoa, Chordata, Chondrichthyes, Myliobatiformes, Myliobatidae.